CCCCACUGCUAUCGGGAUAGGACUAAGACAUGCUAGUCGAGUGGCUCAGCCAAUACGAGCCACGGCAUACAGCUCAGUAACACGUGGCUAAUCUGCCCUUAGGACGAGAACAACCCCGGGAAACUGGGGCUAACUCUCGAUAGGCGAAGAACUCUGGAAUGAGUCUUCACCUAAAUAGUUCAGCGUUACGCUCGUUGAACCGCCUAAGGAUGAGGCCGCGACCGAUCAGGUUGUUGGUGAGGUAAUGGCUCACCAAGCCUUUUACCGGUGCGGGCCGUGAGAGCGGGAGCCCGGAGAUGGGCACUGAGACAAGGGCCCAGGCCCUACGGGGCGCAGCAGUCGCGAAAACUUUGCAAUACACGAAAGUGUGACAGGGCUAUCCCGAGUGCCAUCCGCUGAGGAAGGCUUUUACCCAGUCUAGAAAGCUGGGGGAAUAAGGAGAGGGCAAGUCUGGUGUCAGCCGCCGCGGUAAUACCAGCUCUCCGAGUGGUGUGGAUGUUUAUUGGGCCUAAAGCAUCCGUAGCUGGCUAAGUUAGUCCCCUUGUUAAAUCCACCGAAUUAAUCGUUGGAUUGCGGGGGAUACUGCUUAGCUAGGGGACGAGAGAGGCAGACGGUAUUUCCGGGGUAGGGGUGAAAUCCUAUAAUCCCGGGAAGACCACCAGUGGCGAAGGCUGUCUGNUAGAACGCGCCCGACGGUGAGGGAUGAAAGCUGGGGGAGCGAACNGGAUUAGAUACCCGGGUAGUACCCAGCUGAAACGAUNCAAANUAGGUGUUUGAACGGCCACGUGCCGUUCUAGUGCCGCAGGGAAGCUGUUAAGUUUGCCGCGUGGGGAGUCACGAUCGCAAGAUUGAAACUUAAAGGAUA
RNAcentral lists this ribosomal RNA (865 nucleotides) under uncultured archaeon. Its description in RNAcentral is "bacterial SSU rRNA". It matches the Rfam family "Archaeal small subunit ribosomal RNA", at positions 21 to 865 of the family's 1478-position model. The record is from RNAcentral.